Molecule: ribosomal RNA, 253 nt
Filed under: uncultured bacterium
Lineage: Bacteria
Description: partial 16S ribosomal RNA
Rfam family: Bacterial small subunit ribosomal RNA
Source: RNAcentral
UACAGAGGGGGCAAGCGUUGUUCGGAAUUACUGGGCGUAAAGGGCGCGUAGGCGGCCCGCUAAGUCGAACGUGAAAUCCCCGGGCUCAACCCGGGAACUGCGUCCGAUACUGGCAGGCUUGAAUCCGGGAGAGGGAUGCGGAAUUCCAGGUGUAGCGGUGAAAUGCGUAGAUAUCUGGAGGAACACCGGUGGCGAAGGCGGCAUCCUGGACUGGCAUUGACGCUGGGGCGCGAAAGCCAGGGGAGCAAACGGG